RNAcentral lists this ribosomal RNA (492 nucleotides) under uncultured bacterium. RNAcentral's name for it is "partial 16S ribosomal RNA". It matches the Rfam family "Bacterial small subunit ribosomal RNA", at positions 29 to 507 of the family's 1533-position model. The record is from RNAcentral.
AGUGAACGCUGGCGGUAGGCCUAACACAUGCAAGUCGAACGGCAGCACAGUAAGAGCUUGCUCUUACGGGUGGCGAGUGGCGGAUGGGUGAGGAAUACAUCGGAAUCUACUUUUUCGUGGGGGAUAACGUAGGGAAACUUACGCUAAUACCGCAUACGACCUACGGGUGAAAGCAGGGGAUCUUCGGACCUUGCGCGAUUGAAUGAGCCGAUGUCGGAUUAGCUAGUUGGCGGGGUAAAGGCCCACCAAGGCGACGAUCCGUAGCUGGUCUGAGAGGAUGAUCAGCCACACUGGAACUGAGACACGGUCCAGACUCCUACGGGAGGCAGCAGUGGGGAAUAUUGGACAAUGGGCGCAAGCCUGAUCCAGCCAUACCGCGUGGGUGAAGAAGGCCUUCGGGUUAUAAAGCCCUUUUGUUGGGAAAGAAAAGCAGCAGGUUAAUACCCCGCUGUUCUGACGGUACCAAAAGAAUAAGCACCGGCUAACUUCGUG